AAUUACACUAUAUUAAAUUUAUAUAUUCUAUUUGUGUGUUUUAUACAAUCUUAAACAUGAAAAUGUAUUAAUGUUAUACACAAUUAAAGAUUAACAUGUUUUAUAACAUAGUAAACCAUCUAAAAAUUCCGCCCCGCAUAAUUUCCGAUUAAUCUCCGAUUUUUUUUUUAUGCGCUAGGCCCAACCCGACCGCCCGAGCAGCGACUACCGCGUUCCAGAACAGGGAUAUAUAUUAAUGGAGGCGCUCUGAGCUAAAAUUCUUUUAAUUUGUUCAUGCCCAGAUCUUCGUCUGUUGUCUAACAAGCUAAGGCACAAACUAGGUGGUGUCUCCGGUUCGAGGCCGUGGAUGGUUCGGCGCAGUCAUGUCGAAGGCGGUGAUUCUUUGCGGUUCCAGGUUCUUGAGGAGGGAGGUGGGUUCUUGCUUCCUCAAAAGUCAUCAUAGUGGGAGAUCUUAUUUGUGCUCGCUUCCUGGUAUUCGAGAAGCCCAGAUUUGUGAAGGGAGGUGGUAGAUCUUGGAGGGGAGAAGGUUUUCAAGGCGGAAGCGUUAUAGGGUUGCAUGAACUUCCGGCUGCUCUAGUAAGCUCUCUGUUAGAGGGUGGCGGAGAGGCGUGAACGAUGUCACCGGAGGCAGCUGAGUACGGCGACGGUCUCAGGACCGGAUCUGCAUGGGUCUCGCUUCUUGGGUUCUCCUCUCUCAUCUCCGGUCUCUAUACCCGGUCUCUUUCUAUACCCUGCAUAGUCCUUCCAGUGAGGUGUCUUCUUUAUCUAGGUAGUAGCAGUUCCAGCGGAGGUUGGUUUCGGUUUCUCUACACCAGCGUGGCGCAUCGAGGCAAGAUGAAGUGGUGUUAGGGUUUUCGAAAUCUCUGGGCUAUUUUGGGCUAGUUUUGUUCUUGGGCUUAUUUGGGUUUUAGGGCUUUUAUUUAAUUUCGUUGUAAAAAAAAUCUAAAAAAUAUUAAUGAAAAUCCUUUUUCAGAAAAAAAAAUCAAUUUUUUUUUAUUUAAAACUCAUACGGAGACUUAUACAUAAAAAAUGAUAGCAGUCAUUUUUUGAGCAAAAAAUAAUACCAGUCAUAAGUUUUAUAAAAUAAUAAUUUUUAUUUUUGAAAAAUUGUCGCAAAUACCACAUUCAUAAUACCAAUUUUCAUAUUUACACUAAUCAUUUUUACCCUCACUUUUAAUGAAAGGUAAAAGACAUGUAUACCCCUAUGAUUAAAUAAUCUAGAUUUAGAGUUUAGAGUUGAGAGAUAGGGUAUAGUUUUUGGAAUGUGAAAUUUUGGAUAAUAAAUAUAUAAAUAAAUACUUAAAAAAAUAUAAAAAUUUAAAAGUAGUUUGAAACAUAAUUUUUGAUUUUCAAAAAUAAAUUUUGAAAAGAAAAAAAAUUAGACAAAAACAAAAAUUCAAAAGAAAAUUAUAAAAAAGUUUGAAUUUGAGAAAGUAUAAUUCGAAAACAUAAAAAUUAUUUUUUUUUAUUUUUUUUCUACUUUUUAUUUAUUUAAAUAAUUAUUGAUUAUAUAUAUAGAGAAUAAGGGUAAAAGAAUCUUUUUCAUUUAAUGAAAAAAAAAUAUUUUCGAAAAUGUCCAUUUAGUGGUGGUAAAGAUGAAUAAUAGUACCAUGAAAGUGGUAAACAUGAAAUUCUCUCUUUAUUUUUACUACACUUGCCAUAUAAACUUACAGUUUCUGCCACAUUAUUUUUACUGUAAGUUACAUAAAAUUAUAUAUAAAUCAUAUAUGUUAAAGAUCUGUUGUUAACAAGUAUGCAAACUAAUGAAGAAGAAAUUAACAACAGAUCUUUAUCAUGGUACAAGUAUCAGACGUGGAUCUUCGUCACACGGUUUAUGGUGGUUGUGUUCAGAUGUGAAUUCUUAUAAAGUAUAUAGAAAUUUUGGUUGUAUAGUCAUGAAUGUAAUAUAUAUUUCAUAAUUUGUAAUAGCAAAGUGUUAAAAUUUUUAUUUUAAAGCAUUAUAAUUGGAAGUAUAUUUUCAUCAAUUAAAAAGAGAAAGCAGAAUAGAAGAAGAGAUAAAUCAAAAAUCGUCUUUUUAGCAUCUCCAACCCCUUUAUAUUUUUAACUAUAAAAUAGAGUUUGAAGAAAAAAAAUAUAUCAAUGUUACUCUAUUUUUCACUCUAUAUAGAAGUAUUCUAUUAAUAGAGUAAAUUCAUUUUCUCUAUUAAUAAUGAGUUUACUCUAUAUAAAAAUAAAUUUAUUUAUUUUUGUUUAUCACUCUUACUUGCACUCUAAAUACAGUAAUAGUGGAAAAGAAUUCAACUUUAUUGAACCAUUGAAAAUGGUUUUCUAGAUAAAGCAAACUAAUUAAUGAGAGAGAGAUUUAUCAAUAACAAUUGUCACUAACUAGAGAUAGGUUCUCAUUAAUUGUCAUCUUCUACUAGAGAUUAAUUGUGUUUAUUUGAUCAAUUACAACUUACUAUUUUUACUUUCACGGUAAAUCUUUUAUAUAAAUGAGGAAAUUUAGUUUUAAAAUGUUAUUUAUAUUAAUGUUUUAAAAUUUUAUUUAUAUUAAUGUCAAAUAUGUUUCUAUUAUUUGAAAUGAAAAAGAGUAACCUGACUAUCACAGUAAAAUUAGGAAGAUAGUUUGAAUUACUUUUUUAUUAUGUUUGGCAAACUUUACUUAUGUAUAAGAUUUGAAACAGGGAUUAAAAUUUCAUGUAAGUUAACACAUCAGAACUAAAAAAAUUGUUCAAUAAUGCACUUGAAUUUAUUAUUAUUAUUUUGAGUAAUUUUUUUUUUAAAAUCGAUGAUUGAUAACUGUUUUAAAACUAAAACAGUUUAAGAUUUGUCUAUGCAUUAUUAAAUAGUAAAAAUUAUUAAAUUAUAAAAUAAUAUUAAUAUUAAUUGGAAGUGACGUACUAUUAUUAGUGACCAAUAUUUUAAAUAUAGAAAGAUUGUUUAUCCGUACUUUGAUAUUUUUUAGAAAAAUUAUUUAUUCACCGAUCAAUAAAAGUAUGCGACCUCAUAUUCAGUGUUUGAAAAAAAAGGAAAAAAAUAAUAAAACUUUGCCAAGUCAUAUUAUAUUUUUAAAAAUAAAAAAAUAAAAUAAAAAUAAAUAAAAAAUAGUACAAAUAUUUUUUUUAACAUUGUUAACGCCGUAAGCAAAACACUAAACCUAAAUCCUAUACAUUAAACCCUAAACACUAAACCUUAAAUUCUUGGGUAAAUCCUAAACUCUUGGGUAAGCCCUAAAUUUUUGAGUAAACUCUAAACCUUUGGGUAAACACUAAACCGUUGGAUAAAUCCUAAACUCUAGGGCUUAGGGCUAAGGUUUAGAGUUUUGCUGACGGCUUUUAGGAUUUAGUUUUUAGGAUUUAGUGUAUAAUAUUUAUGAUUUAGGGUUUAGGGUUUAUCCAAAGGGGUAGGAUUUAAUGCUUAGAAUUUAGGGUUUUGUGUUUUGCUGAUAUCGUUAAUAAUAUUAAAUAAACUCAUUUUUUCUGCGGCUAGUACUAUUUUAUUUAUUUAUUUUUACUUUUUAUUUAAAAAAUAUAAUAUAACUUGGCAAAUUCAUGUUAUUUUACGUUUUAAAAAAAUUAAGUAUGAUAUGACAGGCUAUUAUUGGCUGGUGAACCUGCGCUUUCGGGGUAAACUAAAAAAAAAACUCUUUUUAGAAUGUGUAGAUGUUGUUUUUGUAAAUUUGUUCUAAUAUAAUUUUGAUAACAUUAUAUAAUAAAUAAGUCUAUAUCUUAUUUGGUGUUGGACUUCUGUAAAUUGAAACAUAAUUUUGGAUAAACUGUUUGCUAAUUAAAUAAAACGCAUAAUAGUGUGUGAACCAAAAUUUCUUUUGAAAAAAUAAAUUUAUAUAUAUGGAAGGAAAAAACAUUAGAAGCUGCAAUUAGACAUGAACAUCCCUUUUUAGAAUUUUUGGAGAAACAAAGUAUGUUAUGAUUUCUGGGAGAAUUUUAAUUUUAGCUUUUACCCCAAAUUUAAUAUCACUAUUUAAAUUUAUCUUUAAGAGAUAAAUAUUUGCAUAAAUACUUUAAAUUUCUGAAAAACUAAAACUGACAUUAUAAAUUCAUUUAUAAAAUAUUUAUAAAGGUUCAUAAUUCAACCCCAAUCCAUAAAUAAUCUACUAAUACUAAAAGGAGUAUAUCCUUUAUAUUUAUAGACUUACUUUUUAUUUAAAAAAAAAACUAACUGAGAUACUAAGGCAACAUAAAACAAAAAUAGGAAAAACAUAGGAAUAAUUCAUGAAAACUCUAUUCUUUCUCUCUUAGGCUAUGUCAAGUCCAAACGACGGAGAAAAACGACAUGUGUGAUGGCCACAUUGCUGGAAACUAACUCCUAUGUUGUUCCUGGGAGCUAGACUACAGACAUUGGUUUUUGUUGAUAUACUUAUGGCAGAAAAGCUACAGCCGAGACCUUAGGACAUGGUAGGAAGGUCAAAACCAUUUACUUAUCUCAUCAUCACUUUUUUUUCUUCUGACCAGACUUCUUCUUUCUACGGAGAUAUGAAUUGCCUUCUAUGUUGAAGGUUUUUACUUUGAUAGCACUCGCUUGCUUUUCUCCAUAUAACUGAAGAGAAACAAUGUUCUAAACUUUGCACAUUAGCUAAGCUUUUAAAGACCAAUUCUAGGAUCACCGGCUGGAGCUGCAUAAGAUUUUGUUUUUUGAACACCUGAAGACACCAGCUAAGGUAUAUAAAGACUUUUUACUCUACAUAAAUAACCAGAUAAUGUAGAGCACACACGCAUACAAUUAGCGUGAAUUACCUUGCUUGCACGUUCACACCCCAUAUCCGUGAAACGAUUAGUAGCCUAGGAAAGAAAAUAAAAGAGCAUUCGUUAAUCAGUAAGAAGAUCUAUGUCACAUAAAUAGCUUGAUUCAACAUUCAACAGCCGCAAAGUAAACUUACCAAAAGAGCACGUGUGACUUAUUUCUUGUCCUUGCUGUUUUAUUUAAGUCGUGGGUGUAAUGGAAUCUCCAUGAGGCAUUGACACCAGUGCAGAUUUCUGCGUUAAUGUAAUGGAAUGUACCAAAUAGUGGAGAGGCGCAACUGUUGCAUUGACAUUCAAAACACUCUGAAAAAGAGAUGGUACGCUAGAAUAGCAAAUUCCAAUUGAGCUUCCGGUAUGGUUGGCAUUGGCAAAAAGAAAAUGUUAAGUUUUGGAAACAAAACUUAGUCUCAUUUGUAUUGUUUUUUUGGCUUCAAAUCUUAAAUCCAGAAUGAUUAUGAAUCUUAGAGACAAAGAAAAAUAAUGGAGCUUGUUGGAUUAAGAUUUACUGUUAUAUUGUGUUUGGUGAGGAAUCAUACCGUUGAUGGCCCAGUUACAUUGGUCCCUACACAUCUCUUCUAUUCCAUUGUUUGACCUGUCCAAACAUUUUUGAGUUUAUUUUGUCUCAGAAACAUCACAAAAUAAAGAAGUCGCGUGACAAUUAAAAAAAUAAACAGUCUUAAGUUUUGCUUACUUUCAGUUUAGUUCAAGUAAAACUUUUUCGGUUAACGCGCUCUGAUUAUCUGCAUCACCAGGUUUUCCUCCAACCUUCACCUGUGGGAUUUUCUGUACAUAUGAUUUUAGACAAUUAGGUCUAGAAAAGAUGUAAAAGAGCAUAACAAAUACACUCUAAAGUUUAUAUGUGUAGGCCACAACAUUCUUACGUUUCUUCUUCUAGCAAAUUAAAAAAUGUUUACCUCAAAGACUUCUCUGAAUAGCUGCUUUGAGACAUUUGAUCACUCCUGUCUUACUGCCUAGGAUUUGACUGGAGAUACAUCAGUAUGUUUUAUGCUUUAUUCAUGGCACAAGCCCAAGUUAGAUGAUGGUAGAAGAGACAAUACCUUGAUCAAAUCAAGAGAUAUUUCCGUUCUUACAUAUUUGGGCAAAACCCUUCAAGAUCUUAUUGACCUCUGAAACAGUGACGAUUUCAUCAUCUUCUUCCUAUUCGUCCUCAGACCGACACAGUUCGCUCAAGCUAGGGAAGAAGAACCGGCCCAAUUCCAUACGACGCCAUAGACGCCAGCACCCUUCAGAUUUUUUCCCCGACCAAUUCCUCCAGUCUGUUGAUUAGUCUUGUUAAACAUGAUUUCAACUAUCUCUUGUCAAGAAAAAUAUGACUGAAGAGAAAGUUAAGAAGACAAUGAAGAGAUCGGCCGAUUUGAUCGCCAUCAGAGAAGAGAAAGUUAAGGGGACAGUGAAGAGAUUGCCUGAUUUUGCGAGGAUCAGAGUAUCAAAGAAAAGAUUUAUAUAAGGUAAAAAUCAGGGAUUCGGAACAGUUGCAUGGGUCAGAUUGUAGCUUGACCUGUCCAAACAUUUUUGAGUUUAUUUUGUCUCAGAAACAUCACAAAAUAAAGAAGUCGCGUGACAAUUAAAAAAAUAAACAGUCUUAAGUUUUGCUUACUUUCAGUUUAGUUCAAGUAAAACUUUUUCGGUUAACGCGCUCUGAUUAUCUGCAUCACCAGGUUUUCCUCCAACCUUCACCUGUGGGAUUUUCUGUACAUAUGAUUUUAGACAAUUAGGUCCAGAAAAGAUGUAAAAGAGCAUAACAAAUACACUCUAAAGUUUAUAUGUGUAGGCCACAACAUUCUUACGUUUCUUCUUCUAGCAAAUUAAAAAAUGUUUACCUCAAAGACUUCUCUGAAUAGCUGCUUUGAGACAUUUGAUCACUCCUGUCUUACUGCCUAGGAUUUGACUGGAGAUACAUCAGUAUGUUUUAUGCUUUAUUCAUGGCACAAGCCCAAGUUAGAUGAUGGUAGAAGAGACAAUACCUUGAUCAAAUCAAGAGAUAUUUCCGUUCUUACAUAUUUGGGCAAAACCCUUCAAGAUCUUAUUGACCUCUGAAACAGUGACGAUUUCAUCAUCUUCUUCCUAUUCGUCCUCAGACCGACACAGUUCGCUCAAGCUAGGGAAGAAGAACCGGCCCAAUUCCAUACGACGCCAUAGACGCCAGCACCCUUCAGAUUUUUUCCCCGACCAAUUCCUCCAGUCUGUUGAUUAGUCUUGUUAAACAUGAUUUCAACUAUCUCUUGUCAAGAAAAAUAUGACUGAAGAGAAAGUUAAGAAGACAAUGAAGAGAUCGGCCGAUUUGAUCGCCAUCAGAGAAGAGAAAGUUAAGGGGACAGUGAAGAGAUUGCCUGAUUUUGCGAGGAUCAGAGUAUCAAAGAAAAGAUUUAUAUAAGGUAAAAAUCAGGGAUUCGGAACAGUUGCAUGGGUCAGAUUGUAGCUGUAAAGAAGGGGGUUUAAUGAGAAAGAUUGGUGGAGACCGACGUUACAGAAGAGAAUCGGAAAUGGUGAUAAACGUUUGCGUUUCUACGAUGGGUACGAAGUAGGUGAAGUUGAUGAGUCGCUUAGAGCUGAUAAUGUGUACAGAUUAGCCCACACGAAAGUCCGGUAACUUAGAAACUUGACUUGAUUCUUAAUGAAGAUGACGUGACAAAACUGAGUCUUCCUAUUGGUUAAUUUUUUAAACCAACGUGGACACUCUCUAUGCACAGCUUAUUUUUCUUUUAGUAUAGUUUAGAUAUGUAAAAUAUGAAUAGGUACAUAUUAAAAAGAAGCUACGAAAGUAGACGACAGUUGGUGCGUUACGUUAAGGAAAUGUGUACUUAAUUAGAAUUUUAGAAAUAAACUGAAAAAAAUUGUACUAAAAACAAAAUAAAGAAAGCAAUGAGAUGAGGAAUCACACAUGGAUUCCAUUUUGUGACAUUCCACUUUUGGUGUUUUCCACUAAAAGAUUAAUCACUCACGAGAUGAGCUGAUGAAUUUUUCAGCUCACUUGUUAUUUUUAUUUUUUAAGUGCUAGCAAGAAUCAUGAUAAUAAUAAUAAUAAUUCCAUUUUUUAGAUAUAUACACACUAUAUAAUAUAUUUAAACUAGUGACGUCUUGGACAAGUUUUAUCCUCACCCUUAUUUCAAACUUAUAAUGUUUUAUAAUCUUAAUACUUUUCUUUUAUUAUAUAUACUAGGGGCCUUUCCCGGACUACGCCCGGGGUAUUCGUAUAAGUUUUAAUUAAAUUAAAAAAAAUUACAAUAACAUUUGAAAAUAAAUUUUUAUAUAUACUACAAUCGAUUUUAAACUAUUAAAUUGGUAAGAAAUUUAAAUUCGUUUGAAUUUAUUAAUUGCCUUGUGUCUAAAAUAUUUCACAUAAUUUAACUCACAAUUUGUUAUUAAAAGAAAUCAUAUAUAUAAUGAUCAGUAAGAUGGGUCAAAGUUAACUAAACAUUGUUGGACUUUAAAAUACAUUUAUCUUAUUAAUUUAGGUUUUGUAUAAACAAUUGUAAAUUUAAAACUAAUUUUAACUUUAUUUUAACUUUUGAAUUAUUGAGUUGUAAUACCAUAUUGAACAAUUUCAUAACAGAAAAUUAAAUUGAAUAGAAAAAUUGAUAUAAACUAAAGAUAAUGUUGUUCUCCAAAUCGAUUCAUGAAAAUACAUUAUAAAUAAAGAUUAUAACAGACCAAACCAGUUUUAAGACAAUUCUUUAAAUAAACCAUCACCGAAACUUUAUAUUUAAAUCAUAUAAGCCAAUAAUGACUUUAUAAAUUAAGAUAUUCCGGCCUCGUCCCAAAGAGAUUAGUCUUUACUUUUAUGUUGGUUUCUACCUUUGGUUAUUUAUUUUAAAUUUAUAAUCUGGUGUUUUUUAAAAAUUUAUAUAUGGUGAGGAUUUAGUUUAAUAUUCACAACUUUUAAAUUACUUAUGAAGAUUGUUGUUGAAUGAAUAUAAUUUGAAGAAGUGGUCUAAGUCUAAAUCCUUAAACAACUCUCCAUGAUGUGUUUGAGUCUCCAUUUUACACUCUUUUCAUCGUAACUGUUACCAAUGAAAUGUGUUCAAAAUUUCAAUCAUCGUAAUUACUACCAAUUUUCGUGUUUAAUUUUAGACUAACUACAUAUGUUGUUUUGAGCCCAGUUAUUCAUCGUACCAUGUUACAAAAAGAACAUAUGAAUUAUUUGAAAAAUGUAAUCCAUUGGAACAAAUUGACAGUGAUUAGUAUCCAAUAUAUGGUGUAAGAUUAAAUACUUUCAACGGCGGGCAAGUCUCACAUCUUCAAUAUUGGUUUUUUACAGGUACAUAUAUUCAGUUAGUGUUCUUUGAUGCGUUUUUCAAAUGACCACAUGCACUCUUGCCUUGACCUCGAUGUCAUCUUCGCGGGUGUUCAUGGACUACGAUAUCCAGCCCACCAUAGAUUACUUCGCUUGGUAAAUAUUAACGUGUUUUGCUUUUCUCUAUUACUUACUGCAUUGCCCACGUUAUCUCAUUGCAGUGAAUGAUUAGAUUAAUGAUUUCUACUCUGUCGCAGGUUGGGGGCUAACCCCGGUAUUGCUGAGCAGGUUAAUGCAGAGAUAGUAACCAAACGUGAGACAAUGACUAUAGGGGAAAUAUUCUCCUACAUCAAGCAGGAAACCGCAAAGGUAAACUCAAUCUUUAUAUCUUUGACCGUUCCUCCUCAACCGCCGUGGCCGAGACGCAGGGACCUUCUUCUUCUCCACCGGCUCCGACUUGCUCGGAGGAGCUGGUUAUGUUCUCUCCAUGCAUCCCUUACGUCUCGGCUCCGCCAAACAACAUCUCAAAGACGCCGGAUGCUCUAUGCUGCUCUGUUUUCUCCACGUCUGUUCAUUCCACCGCCGGAAAGUGCCUCUGUUAUCUUCUUCGCCAGCCGAUGAUCCUCGGAUUCCCCUUGGAUCGAUCUAGAUUGCUUUCUCUUUCUCAGAUCUGUACCGAAUUCAAGAGUUCCGACGAAUCUUUCGAGUCUCUUUGCUCUCCGUCAGGUUUAGUUUCAAAUCUUCUAAUCCAAAUGGAAUCGAUUGUGUUGAACCUUAGAUGUGUAACUUUAGGGAUCUUGAUCUGUGUGUUGCAGUGUCGCCUGAGCUUCCGCCGCUUCAGAGUAUCCAGUUCACGUCUCCCUUUGACUACGGUAAAUAAAAAAAAUCGAUUUUGAUGGAUUUUUGGUUGAGACUGAGCUUCAUUUGUAUCUCUGCAGGUGAUCGAGACUCUGCCUCUCCUCAAUCGCUAGGCUUACCACCGGAAACCGCUAAGAUUUCACCAACCUCCGAUCAGUUCUCGCCUGAUAUAGAUAACGUCUCACCACAACUCAUCAUAAACGGCUUUUUCCUUCCCAUAAGGUUGAUUGUCUUUCCGCCAUGAAGAUAUUUCAUGUCGACAAUUAUUAAUUUUGGUAAUAAAAUCCCCUGGUUGGCCCUCCUGAUUUUCUGUCCAACCCGACACAAUUGAUUCCAUAAGCCCCUCCUGACCUAUCCACCGCUUAUCAAACCUGAACUGACCUCUUUUUUUCCUUGAUAAUUUAUCUUCCAGAAAAGCGAUCACCGGUCGAUGAUCCGAUCCCACCAUCCUCAAAUAUUCUGUGUAAGAAAAUGGAAAGAGUGUAUGCCAUUCCUCAUUCGCCAAGGCUCUAUCCAGUCGACAUCUAACCGUUACAGCUCCUUUUCCUUUCCCUCUCCGUCCCUGCCAUGACAUUUUAUUACCACGAGCCGGAAAUUCUAAUAGUCCACUAUUCCUUAUCAUAUUGUUGAAAGGGAUAAAGGACGUCGCACACCUUAGAGUUCCCCCAUCUUUUUCGUGAUUCCCGGUAAUUUCGUUUAGAUCUCCUAUAAUAAACCAGGGCUCCGAUCUAGCUAAACCAUAUCGGGUUAACCUUUCCCAUACAUGAUCUCUCAAACUUUGAUCCGGCUCUCCAUAUACAAAAGUAAGGAAUACUUGUUUCCCUUUGGCCAUUGCCUCGACAUCUAUCAUUCUAUUGCUAGAAUAUAAUAUUUUAACUUGGUACUCAUUAUUAUAAAAAAGGGCUAAACCACCACUUCUCCCAAUUGGAUCCACUGUAACCAGACUAUCAUAACCAAAAUGUGAUUGAAACCUUUGUACGAAUCCAAAAUCCUGUUUCGUUUCUGAUAAAAACAUAAAAUCUGGUUUAUGUUUAUGCCAUGUUUCCCGAAGAUAACUUAUUGUCCAAUGACUUCCAAGACCUCUGCAAUUCCAACUUAAUAUUUUCAUAUAUAAACCUGCUUGUAUUGCUCUACCGAGCCGGAAGAUUGGGGUUUAAUGAUACCCAGCAAUCUUAGAAAUAAACUGAAGAAAGUUGUACUAAAAACAAAAUAAAUAAAGCAAUGAGAUGAGGAAUCACACAUGGAUUCCAUUUUGUGGCAUUCCACUUUUGGUGUUUUCCACUAAAAGAUUAAUCACUCACGAGAUUGUUAUUUUUAUUUUUUUAAUUGCUAGCAAGAAUCAUGAUGAUAAUAAUAAUAAUAAUAAUAAUUCCAGUUUUUAGAUAUAUACACACUAUAUAAUAUAUUUAAACUAGUGACGUCUUGGACAAGUUUUAUCCUCACCCUUAUUUCAAACUUAUAUCUAGAUCUCGACCCCGCGACCGCGCAGAUUUUUUGUUUUCAUUUAUUUUUAUAUAAAUAUUUUAUUUUUAAUUCUAAGUUGGUAUAUAUUAUAAUAUAUAUGUGCCUAUCAAUUUUUAAAACAUAAUAAGUUUACGGUAUAUUUUUUCAUUGAAUAGAUUGUUUCAAACUUUCACAUGUAUUUGUAUCUUCUUCUAUAUAUAUAUUUUCGGAUUAUUAUUUCAUUAUUAAAAUCGUAACUAUAUAUAUAAAGAAAUUAGAAAAAUAUUGUUUUAUUUUCAUAUUUAAAGAUAUUAUAACAUUUCACAAAUUUAGAAAGUUUUUUUAAAAUUAAACUUUUUGCUUCAUAGAUUUAUAUUAUCGAGUAAAUAAUUAAACAUUUAGUUUUGUUUAAUUUUUAAAAUAAACUAUAUAGUUUAGAAUUUGUUUUCAUUGGUUUAAGGUAGUAAAUAUUAAUCAUUGUUAGAUAAUAUGUUUUUUGUUAUUUAAAAAAAAAAUCUUUAUAAUUUUAAAAGUUAACAUCGGCAAAUAUUUAACAUACGGAGGUAUAGUAUUACAACAUUAAAUUAUAUCUAUUUAAUUUAUACUAUCUAUAAAUCCAAUGGAUAAUCUAUUGUUUAAAUCUAAUUAUUAAUAACCCAAUAAAAAUUUCUGGUAGGUCCAAAAUUUAAAUGAUAAGAUUAGAGAUUAAAUGUAACAUGAUUUUCUAGGAAUAGGUCCAUUAGGUCCAUUUUUAAAAAAAUCACACAUGAAUCAAGGUUGUGAUUUCUGUUUUAAUAUAUAAGAUGUUUUAUAAUCUUAAUAUUCUUUUAUUGUAUACAUUAUGAAAAGAAAUAUAGUGUUUCUAACUUCAGUCAAACUAAUCUUAUCUAGGCAUGCAUAAGCAUUCAAAUACCUAUUCAGUUUCAGAUCAGAUACUUCGGUUCCAGAUCAUACGAUAUUAGGGACAUAUUCAUUUAGAUAUUUUAGAAUUUGCUUUAGUCCGGUUUCAUCCACAUUUGGAUUAAAUUAAGAUACCUUAAACAUAAGAAUGGUUAAAUUUGAAUAAAUUUUGGUUACAUUUUGACAACUAUAGCUAAUAAUUUUCAGAUAAUUGAACUUUUUGGGUAUUUUGAUUAUUUAUGUCUUAAAAUAAUUGAUAAUUUAAUAUUUAUAAUUAUAAUUUCGGGUACUUAAAUUAUUUUAAAUCUAAUUAAUAUUCUUUGAAAAUAUAAUUUUAUUAACAUACUUUGAACCCCACUUAAUUCCCGGUUUGGAUUAGUUCUUAGGAUAUAUAUAUAUAUAUAUAUAUAUAUGUAUAUAUAUGUUUUGGAUCCGUUCAGGUAUUUUCGGUUUGGAUUUGGUUCAAUACUAGUUUUCAAGCUGGGUUCGGUUUGGAUUUUGGUUUCAUGGAAUUUUUUAUCUUAAAUAUAAACACUAAACAACACAAGUAUAUGUAUUUUACAAGCAUUUACUUUUAAAAUAUUAAUUUAUGAAAAAUAAAUAUUAAAAACUAAUAAAAUAUAUUAUUUGAUUUUAUGAUAGAUUAGAUUAUGGUUGAUGUUUUUUUCUUGUAAAAAUAUUAUGGUUGAUGUUGUUACUAUUAUGUUUCACUGUAGAUGUAGAAAUGUAGCCAUAAACUGUAGUUUGUAGUUUUGUUAUUGUAACUGUAUUUUAUUUUGAUGUAGAACAAUACUACAAUGUGGGUGAUUGGUUGGGUUUUAUCUCUCCACUUUAGUUUUAUUUAUUUUUAAAUUAAUAAAUUUUACCAAUUAUGAUGUGACUUUUUUCAAAGUAAAAGUCUACAUCAAUUUUCUAUUAAUUUUUACUAAUCAUGCUUUAACUAUAUUCUUAAAGCUAUACCAAAAAAUCAAACUUUUUUCUUAUUUAUUUUAGUUAAAAAAACUACAUCUUUCUUUUAUAAGAUGUGGAAUCUAUAAAAUGAAAAAUACUAUCUAUAAUGGUGAUGAUUGGUUCGACUGUGACUUAAAAAAUUUAGCUGCAUAUGUUUAGCUGUUGAUAAAUCGGUUGUAUCUGUAAAGUUGUUACUGUAGACUUUUUCUGCGGAGACUUUUGCCGAGUUGAAUUUGUUGUAGAUAUAAACUAUACGUUGUAGAUAUUUUAAAAUAAAAUAUGUGAAAUAUGUGCUGUAUAUAUAAAAUUAUUGUUUUUAUCAAUUAAAAUAAUUUAUAUUAAUAUUUUGUUUAUAAGUUAUCAAAGUUUAUUAUUAUUUAAAAUGUGAUAUGUAAAUAAUAUUUAUGCUAUUUAAAUAUUUUUAAUAAUUUAAAAACACCCAAAAUUAAAAUUAAAAUAUUUAUAAAAGUUUUUAUUAUGAUUAUAUAAUUUAUUUGAUAUUAUAGAUAGUUUUUUUCAUUUUACAGAUUCUAUAGCCUAUAAAAAGAAGAUGUAGAUUUUUUGCCUAAACUACAUAAGAAUAAAUUUGCUUUAUUUUUUUGUUGUAGCUUUAAAAAUAAAGCAAAAGCAUGAUUGGUAAAAGUUAAUAAAAGCUUUAUGUAGGCUUUAACUUUUAAAAAUAAACCUAUAACAUGACUUGUAAAGUUUAGUGAUUUAAAAAUAAAUAAAGCUAAAAUAGGAAGAUAAACCCCAACCAAUCACCUCCAAUAUCAAAUAAAUUAGAAAAUAAUAUAAAAAACAUCUAUAAAUACUGGGGGAUUUGCCAAAUAUGACUCAAAAUUUGAUUCUAAAUACAAAACUAUACUCAAACUUGAAUCAAAUGCAAAACUAACUUAAAAGCCUUGUGAAAUUACAGCCAGCCCCUUGUGACCAAACAAAAAAACAGAACUCAUUUUUACGAAUAUAGUCUGGAAAAGUCGUCUGAGUGUUCUGAGAUACUGUAAGUCGUCUAAACGACUUCCAAGGAAGUAUUCUGGUGUAGUGAAUCUUAAAAAUAAUUUUUAAAUUUUUAAAUAAAUAUUUUGACAAGUGAAAAAUUAAAAUCAUGUAAUUAUAAACAGUUUUAAGUAAUAUAAAUUAAGAUAUAAUAAAAUUGAAUAGUUUUCAACAUAGAUGAGUGAAAGUAGUUAAUCAUGAUAUUCUUUGGCUUAGGGUUUGAUAACAUACGUUGUAGUAUUGUAUGCAUUCUUAGGGUUAGAUUUUGGAAAGCUUAAAUAUUUUUUUGAAAAAUUAAAAUUUAACCUAUAUGUGUUUAUUUCUGUGUAUAGUAAACACUUUUUAAAUUUAAUUUGAUUUUAUGAAGUGUUUAGUUAGUUAAUUUAGUUUAGAGAUUAUGUUUAGGGUCUAGACGACUAACAGGUAAGUCGUCUGGCGAUUAGAAGACUUCUCUGAAAGUCUUCUAACUCCCGCUAAAAAUAUUUUAGUUUCCCGCUAAAAAUAUUGAAGUCUUCUGGGCGACUUACAAGUAAGUCGUCUAGUAAGUCUUCUAUUGGAAUACUUACUAGAAAGUCUUCUGAAUCAAAAUAUUUAACCUUAUUGAAUUUUUGUCUCCAUAUAUAAAUAAAAUUUACGCAUUCUCACUCCUCCUCUC
Molecule: long non-coding RNA, 14779 nt
Filed under: Brassica napus (rape)
Lineage: Eukaryota; Viridiplantae; Streptophyta; Magnoliopsida; Brassicales; Brassicaceae
Description: long non-coding RNA (BNAP_LNC019373)
Source: RNAcentral